This is a non-coding RNA of Danionella cerebrum, 71 nucleotides long. NCBI's taxonomy places the organism in Eukaryota, Metazoa, Chordata, Actinopteri, Cypriniformes, Danionidae. The record is from the annotation of a GenBank genome assembly.
UCUCCUGUGGCUCAGUUGGUGAAGCACUAUGUUAACGACGCAAAGGUUGUUGGUUCAAAUCCCAGGGAAAG